This 260-nucleotide ribosomal RNA is filed under the name uncultured bacterium. RNAcentral's name for it is "partial 16S ribosomal RNA". It matches the Rfam family "Bacterial small subunit ribosomal RNA", at positions 96 to 354 of the family's 1533-position model. The record is from RNAcentral.
UGGCGGACGGGUGAGUAACGCGUACGGAAAACCUGCCGUAUACUGGGGGAUAACACUUAGAAAUAGGUGCUAAUACCGCAUAAGCGCACAGCUUCGCAUGAAGCGGUGUGAAAAACUCUGGUGGUAUACGAUGGUUCCGCGUCUGAUUAGCUAGUUGGUGGGGUAAUGGCCUACCAAGGCAACGAUCAGUAGCCGGCCUGAGAGGGUGAACGGCCACAUUGGGACUGAGACACGGCCCAAACUCCUACGGAAGGCAGCAG